RNAcentral lists this long non-coding RNA (1807 nucleotides) under Malus domestica (apple). RNAcentral's name for it is "long non-coding RNA (MDOM_LNC015325)". Lineage: Eukaryota; Viridiplantae; Streptophyta; Magnoliopsida; Rosales; Rosaceae. The record is from RNAcentral.
CGUGUCGAUCAGGACUAUGACACCCUAAGCUUCAAACUAUUCAACGAUGAAGCAGAGUAAAAUGCUUUAACCAGCAGCCUCUUGCUAGCAAAAAAUUUAGUAGUGAAGAAACUUGCAAUCCAUUCAGAUUCUGAGUUGACCACUAACCAAGCCUUAGGGGGUACAUGGCGAAACAUUUAAGGAUGGCUUAACACUUGGAUAAAUUUCGAGAGUAGCUCACGGCCUUACUUGCUCUCUACAAUGCAAGAGGAUAAACUAAUUUCCUAACAAGUAAGCUCUCCAAUGCGAGGAGGUAAACUAAUUCCCCGACACGUAUUUGGGUUUGCUCUCUAGUGCAAGAAGGUAAGCUAAGAAUUCCCUGACAUCGAUCUAGUUAAGUUAUCUAGUACAAGAGGGUAAACUAAUUCCCCAACACCUAUCUGGGUUUACUCUCAAAUGCGAGAGGAUAAACUAAUUCCCUGACACCUAUCUGAUAAGCUCUCCAGUGCAAGAGGGUAAACUAGUUCCUUAACACCCAUUUGGGUUUACUCUCCAGUAGGAGAGGGCCAACUGCCCAUGAAUUUCUAUACAACUACACAUUUUUUAUGUGAUUAGUUAACAAUUUUCAUAUCCCACAGAUCUUUAUCAUGUUAUGAUGUAGGCACGUAGGUCAAAGGAUCGAAUACUCAAAGACUAACUAAGCAGCACAUGGUCAGGGGCCAAAAACUCAUAACGAACUCAAACAGCUCGAUUUUGCCCCAAAAAGUCAAAGCUUUCAGCCAUAAGUGACUUUGUGGGAUCGUUUUUUUUUUUUUCAAAACAACAUGCCUAGCCAACGAUCCUCUGGCUAAAAGUUUUGCAAGAUGCUUUAAGCAAGCAAAGUUUCAAGAAAAAAUAAAGAUGGACUAAAGAGAAGAAAGAAAUUUAUUAAAUUUCUAGGUAAUUGAUAAACUUGCACAAAGGUUGCUAACAUCCGGCACAUGCUAAAUAUAGUAGACUACUCAUUUAGUAGCUUGGAUGACCUUGGGCUCUCCAACAGCCAUCCUACCUUCAGCAGCUACUUCACACUCAUCAGUUUGCUCAUCCGACUUUUCAUCUUCAGUAGCUCCAAUCUUGGUAACUCUAUCCUCGAAUGUUCCAUCUAUGACAACUGAAAAAUCAAACUCAAGCAGAUCCGUCCUUCUUGGCAAGCAGCACAGACGUGGUAGUAGUAGAAGAAGUAGACUUUGACGCCUCUUUAACAACCGAAUUCAUUUUUCCACGUGACGGACUUUCUUCCCCUACCUUUCAUAAUGGCGAGCCUUUCAGAAGCCGAUCCAGACUUAGCCACAGUUGGAUAUUUCAUUUUAUCUUAGAACUUGGACGGUGGAAACAUAUCAACGUCAAGCUUUCUGAAAGCAGUAGAAUGACUUCUUCUCAACUGAAGCUCCAGUAAGCAAGCUAACCUACUAGCAUGGUCCCGUGUAAUUCUCCUCGGAUCAGGCUGAGCCAACUCUUGGCCCCCGCCAACCAAUCGCACCACACGAACCUGAAACAGCUCCUGUAAGUUACCUUACCUGCACUGCAUCCCCGUGGCUACCCAAUUACUUCCUCAGCCCCUGUUGAGCCAUUCCACCAAGCCUCGAGGCUCUAGAAACUUAAAGAUGAAAAAUUCAACUCUCUGAAGUGGCAAGCAAAAAAGAAAACUAGAUGAGAGGUUUACAAUAUUCUUUACCCAUUUCCUUCUUUCUUAAAUUGUUAUGGGAUUUUAUUUAGCCCUCUGCUUAAGACAUGCUUAUAUAAGUCUUGGUGGCAAUUGGCUUCCUUUUCCCAUGACUACUUUGUUUCC